This 492-nucleotide ribosomal RNA is filed under the name uncultured bacterium. RNAcentral's name for it is "partial 16S ribosomal RNA". It matches the Rfam family "Bacterial small subunit ribosomal RNA", at positions 29 to 507 of the family's 1533-position model. The record is from RNAcentral.
AGUGAACGCUGGCGGUAGGCCUAACACAUGCGAGUCGAACGGCAGCACAGUAAGAGCUUGCUCUUACGGGUGGCGAGUGGCGGACGGGUGAGGAAUACAUCGGUAUCUACUUUUUCGUGGGGGAUAACGUAGGGAAACUUACGCUAAUACCGCAUACGACCUACGGGUGAAAGCAGGGGAUCUUCGGACCUUGCGCGAUUGAAUGAGCCGAUGUCGGAUUAGCUAGUUGGCGGGGUAAAGGCCCACCAAGGCGACGAUCCGUAGCUGGUCUGAGAGGAUGAUCAGCCACACUGGAACUGAGACACGGUCCAGACUCCUACGGGAGGCAGCAGUGGGGAAUAUUGGACAAUGGGCGCAAGCCUGAUCCAGCCAUACCGCGUGGGUGAAGAAGGCCUUCGGGUUGUAAAGCCCUUUUGUUGGGAAAGAAAAGCAGCAGGUUAAUACCCCGCUGUUCUGACGGUACCCAAAGAAUAAGCACCGGCUAACUUCGUG